This 74-nucleotide transfer RNA is filed under the name Sediminispirochaeta smaragdinae DSM 11293. Its description in RNAcentral is "tRNA-Arg (CCT) (tRNA-Arg-CCT-1-1)". It matches the Rfam family "tRNA". From Rfam's summary of the family: Transfer RNA (tRNA) molecules are approximately 80 nucleotides in length. The record is from Rfam by way of RNAcentral. Lineage: Bacteria; Pseudomonadati; Spirochaetota; Spirochaetia; Spirochaetales; Spirochaetaceae.
GCUCCCGUAGCUCAGCAGGAUAGAGCGACUGCCUCCUAAGCAGUAGGUCACGCGUUCGAAUCGCGUCGGGGGUA